CUUGGGCAGGCGCAGUCCUGAAAUGGCCGUGCAGUCUCAGGCCUGCGCCCCGGUGCUGAAGUGGCCGGGUCUGAGGACUGCUCCGGGGUGUGGAAGUUCAAGGCCUCCAGGGCUGGGCCGCUGGCUGGAGGGUGGGUCUGGCAGAGAGGAGGCUGGGAGACGCGGCUGCCAGGCCGGCAGAUUCCCACAGUCGUUACUGGUUCGGCGCAGGGGAGAGGAGAGAGGACAAUGGUGACAGAGGACGGCGUCCUUGGCCCAGGGUGAGGCUCCCACCCCGCGCGGUGCAGCCUGGCCUGCCUCUGAGGAGAGCUGCCUGCACGCAGAUAAGGAGCCUAGGAAUGAAAAUGGUCUUCUCGUCUUCCUUUGCUUUAAAUUUCUGAAACGUGAGGAGUCGCACUUUUCAAACCUCUGCGAACCCAGCUGAAGCUGCGGCAGGUGACCUCUCCCCCCUCCGCCAGCGUGUCGCAUGCCUGGUGGAACUGUCACCGUCAGCAUCCGCUGAGGCCCCCUGCUGGGCAACAGCCAGACCCUGUCCUGUCCCGCAGAACAUUACCCGAGCUACAUUCUGCCCACCCCUUUGUUUAAAAUUUAUUUUUAUUUGAGGACAGGAGCCCGCUAAGUGGCUCAGGCUGGUCUUGAACUUGUGAUCCUCCUGUCUCAGCCUCAUUAGUAGCUGGGAUUCCAGGCAUGCAUCUGGGUGCUGGUCAGCUUGGCAUUAGUGUUUUACACGUCAUGCAGAGAGUAGCUAGCUACAUGGACUCCUCCAAAGAACUAAUGAGAUACUGGAAGGAAAGAAUUUCCCUUAGGCUUGAGCACGGAAUUUCCAGGGCCAUGUCCCCAGGGCCAUGUGCACCCCAGGUGAGGUGUGGGAGGAGACUGAGCCAGGACGACAGCCGGGUGACCGGGUAGGGUGUCUGGGGCCGGGCAGAGAGCUGCUCCCCUCCCCAGCCUCUGCUUCAGAGCCGUCUGACAGUGGACGAAACAUCAGCCAGAGCAAGCUCUCUGCCCUGAAGCACUGGCCCUCUGGGGGUUCAUCCCAGCAACGAGGACAGGGCUGAGACUCGGGCACGGAGAGGGGUCUGCUCAGGCUGCACACCCAGG
This 1101-nucleotide long non-coding RNA is filed under the name Heterocephalus glaber (naked mole-rat). RNAcentral's name for it is "lncRNA (ENSHGLG00000050794.1)". The record is from RNAcentral. Lineage: Eukaryota; Metazoa; Chordata; Mammalia; Rodentia; Bathyergidae.